RNAcentral lists this long non-coding RNA (669 nucleotides) under Olea europaea subsp. europaea. The record is from RNAcentral. Lineage: Eukaryota; Viridiplantae; Streptophyta; Magnoliopsida; Lamiales; Oleaceae.
UGACGUCAUGGUUUACCCGCUCUAGAGGGGGAAAUGGAAAUCCGCGUGAAUUACACUAUACGCCGCGACCACUCCUUUGGUCCAACACGUUCCAGUCAACACUCUCAUUUCUCUGACUCCCUCUGCCCCCCCUCGCCCCCCACCUAUGAUAUAUAUAUACAUAGAAAGAUAACCAGAGAAACCACAAAUCUUCACACUCAACAUAUACCAGAGAAUUAAAUUAAUAAGCAAGAAAAGCAAAGGAAUUCAUCAAAUUACUUGUAUAGUGAUGGGGAAUUUCACUUCUUGUUGCUCUGUCGAAUCGCAAACAGCGAAAAUCAUUGAUCUUCAUGGGAAUAUUCGGAUUAUUGAGAUCCCUUUAACAGCAGCAGAUCUAAUGCUUGAAGAACCAGGUCACGUUGUUUCACCGGCCGUCGAGAUUUCCGGAUCGAAUUCCCGGUUUUCGGCGAUGAAAGCGGAUGAACAAUUAAUUGCCCGAGGAGUUUAUAUACUGAUCCCUUUAUGUAGGGUUCGUAGUAAGGUCACGGAAUCGGAGUUGGCAGUUGUUAAGGCUGCCGUCGGUGAUAAAAGGAAAGCAAAACGACAUAGUUCUAAGGUUCUGCCAGUACUAGUGACUGAAAUUUCCAGUGAGGAAAUUGUUGUUGGGAAUCUACUUAUACAUGCACAGCG